ACACGUAGGGGGCAAGCGUUGUCCGGAAUUACUGGGCGUAAAGGGUGCGUAGGCGGUCUGUUAAGUCGGAUGUGAAAGACCUGGGCUCAACCCGGGAUGUGCAACCGAGACUGGCGGACUUGAGUGCAGGAGAGGGAAGUGGAAUUUCUAGUGUAGCGGUGGAAUGCGUAGAUAUUAGGAAGAACACCAGUGGCGAAGGCGGCUUUCUGGACUGUAACUGACGCUGAGGCACGAAAGCGUGGGGAGCGAACAGGAUUAGAUACCCUGGUAGUCCACGCCGUAAACGAUGGAUACUAGGUGUAGGUAUCGUAGGAUAUCUGUGCCGGAGUUAACGCAAUAAGUAUCCCGCCUGGGGAGUACGGCCGCAAGGUUGAA
RNAcentral lists this ribosomal RNA (375 nucleotides) under uncultured bacterium. RNAcentral describes it as "bacterial SSU rRNA". It matches the Rfam family "Bacterial small subunit ribosomal RNA", at positions 523 to 898 of the family's 1533-position model. The record is from RNAcentral.